RNAcentral lists this ribosomal RNA (533 nucleotides) under uncultured Lachnospiraceae bacterium. RNAcentral describes it as "bacterial SSU rRNA". It matches the Rfam family "Bacterial small subunit ribosomal RNA", at positions 915 to 1448 of the family's 1533-position model. The record is from RNAcentral. Lineage: Bacteria; Bacillati; Bacillota; Clostridia; Lachnospirales; Lachnospiraceae.
GGGGGCCCGCACAAGCAGCGGAGCAUGUGGUUUAAUUCGAAGCAACGCGAAGAACCUUACCAGGUCUUGACAUCCAGUAAAAAACUGUAGAGAUGCAGUGUGCCUUCGGGCGUACUGAGACAGGUGGUGCAUGGUUGUCGUCAGCUCGUGUCGUGAGAUGUUGGGUUAAGUCCCGCAACGAGCGCAACCCUUAUUUUCAGUUACUAACGUGUAAAGGCGAGGACUCUGAAGAGACUGCCGGGGACAACUCGGAGGAAGGUGGGGACGACGUCAAAUCAUCAUGCCCCUUAUGACCUGGGCUACACACGUGCUACAAUGGCCACUACAAAGAGGAGCGAGCCCGAGAGGGGGAGCGGAUCUGAUAAAGUGGUCCCAGUUCGGAUUGUGGGCUGCAACCCGCCCACAUGAAGUCGGAGUUGCUAGUAAUCGCGGAUCAGCAUGCCGCGGUGAAUACGUUCCCGGGCCUUGUACACACCGCCCGUCACACCAUGGGAGUUGGGAGCACCCGAAGCCAGUGAGGUAACCGCAAGGGA